UUUUUAAUGCUCUCGGAUUGA
Non-coding RNA from Caenorhabditis elegans, 21 nucleotides. Lineage: Eukaryota; Metazoa; Nematoda; Chromadorea; Rhabditida; Rhabditidae. The record is from Ensembl.